GCCUUCGUAGUGUAAUGGUCAGCACACUCGGUGCGUAACCCGGAGGUCUGUGGUUCGAUUCCCGGCGAAAGCG
This 73-nucleotide transfer RNA is filed under the name Stegodyphus mimosarum. It matches the Rfam family "tRNA". From Rfam's summary of the family: Transfer RNA (tRNA) molecules are approximately 80 nucleotides in length. Their secondary structure includes four short double-helical elements and three loops (D, anti-codon, and T loops). Further hydrogen bonds mediate the characteristic L-shaped molecular structure. tRNAs have two regions of fundamental functional importance: the anti-codon, which is responsible for specific mRNA codon recognition, and the 3' end, to which the tRNAs corresponding amino acid is attached (by aminoacyl-tRNA synthetases). tRNAs cope with the degeneracy of the genetic code in two manners: having more than one tRNA (with a specific anti-codon) for a particular amino acid; and 'wobble' base-pairing, i.e. permitting non-standard base-pairing at the 3rd anti-codon position. The record is from Rfam by way of RNAcentral. Lineage: Eukaryota; Metazoa; Arthropoda; Arachnida; Araneae; Eresidae.